GACGAACGCUGGCGGCGUGCUUAACACAUGCAAGUCGAACGGAAAGGCCCUGCUUUUGUGGGGUGCUCGAGUGGCGAACGGGUGAGUAACACGUGAGUAACCUGCCCUUGACUUUGGGAUAACUUCAGGAAACUGGGGCUAAUACCGUAUAGGAUCUCCUGCUGCAUGGUGGGGGUUGGAAAGUUUCGGCGGUUGGGGAUGGACUCGCGGCUGAUGAGCUUGUUGGUGGGGUAGUUGCUGACCAAGGCUUUGACGGGUAGCCGGCCUGAGAGGGUGACCGGCCACAUUGGGACUGAGAUACGGACCAGAGUCCAACGGGAGGCAGCAGUGGGAAAUAUUGCCCAGUGGGCGGAAGCCUGAUGCAGAAACGCCGCGUGCGGGAUGACGGCCUUCGGGUUGUAAACCGCUUUAGCCUGUGACGAAGCGUGAGUGACGGUAAUGGGUAAAGAAGCACCGGCUAACUACGUG
Molecule: ribosomal RNA, 468 nt
Filed under: uncultured bacterium
Lineage: Bacteria
Description: partial 16S ribosomal RNA
Rfam family: Bacterial small subunit ribosomal RNA
Source: RNAcentral